GCCUACGGGGGGAGCAGUAGGGAAUAUUGCUCAAUGGGGGAAACCCUGAAGCAGCAACGCCGCGUGGAGGAUGAAGGUUUUCGGAUUGUAAACUCCUUUUGUUAGAGAAGAUAAUGACGGUAUCUAACGAAUAAGCACCGGCUAACUCCGUGCCAGCAGCCGCGGUAAUACGGAGGGUGCAAGCGUUACUCGGAAUCACUGGGCGUAAAGAGCGCGUAGGCGGGAUAGCAAGUCAGAUGUGAAAUCCUAUGGCUUAACCAUAGAACUGCAUUUGAAACUGUUAUUCUAGAGUAUGGGAGAGGUAG
This 305-nucleotide ribosomal RNA is filed under the name uncultured bacterium. RNAcentral's name for it is "bacterial SSU rRNA". It matches the Rfam family "Bacterial small subunit ribosomal RNA", at positions 335 to 660 of the family's 1533-position model. The record is from RNAcentral.